UGCAGUCGAAUGAUGCUAUGGGGGUACUCUGUANCGNAUNNCGCGAAGGGGCAGUAAUACAUGGAUAACCUACCCUGGGGAUGGGCAUAGCCGGUCUAACGGCCGGGUAAUACCCAGAGAUUCGGCGAGGAGGCAUCUUUUUGCCGGGAAAUGAAUUUCGCUUCGGGAGGGGUCCAUGAGCUAUCAGCUAGUUGGUGGGGUAGCGGCCUACCAAGGCUAAGACGGCUAGCGGGUGUGAGAGCACGACCCGCGCCACUGGCACUGAGACACUGGCCAGACACCUACGGGUGGCUGCAGUCGAGGAUCUUCGUCAAUGGGCGAAAGCCUGAACGAGCGAUGCCGCGUGAGCGAUGAAGGCCUUCGGGUUGUAAAGCUCAAAAGUGAAGAGAAAGGGAAACUUGAUCGAUUCACAGUAAGCUCGGGCUAAGUUCGUGCCAGCAGCCGCGGUAAGACGAACCGAGCGAACGUUGUUCGGAAUCACUGGGCUUAAAGGGCGCGUANGCGGGCACUCAAGUCUGUGGUGAAAUCCUCCAGCUCACUGGAGACUGCCAUGGAUACUGGGUGUCUCGAGGGUGGUANGGGUAUGCNGAACUAUCGGUGGAGCGGUGAAAUGCGUUGAUAUCGAUAGGAACUCCNGUGGCGAAGCGGCAUACUGGACCCAUCUGACCUGAAGC
This 674-nucleotide ribosomal RNA is filed under the name uncultured Gemmata sp. Its description in RNAcentral is "bacterial SSU rRNA". It matches the Rfam family "Bacterial small subunit ribosomal RNA", at positions 56 to 752 of the family's 1533-position model. The record is from RNAcentral. Lineage: Bacteria; Pseudomonadati; Planctomycetota; Planctomycetia; Gemmatales; Gemmataceae.